Molecule: unclassified non-coding RNA, 336 nt
Filed under: soil metagenome
Description: partial contains 5.8S ribosomal RNA, internal transcribed spacer 2, and large subunit ribosomal RNA
Rfam family: 5.8S ribosomal RNA (bases 1-119)
Source: RNAcentral
GAUGAAGAACGCAGCGAAAUGCGAUAAGUAGUGUGAAUUGCAGAAUUCAGUGAAUCAUCGAAUCUUUGAACGCACAUUGCGCCCCUUGGUAUUCCAUGGGGCAUGCCUGUCGAGCGUCAUUUGUACCUUCAAGCUCUGCUUGGUGUUGGGUGUUUGUCUCGCCUCUGCGUGUAGACUCGCCUCAAAACAAUUGGCAGCCGGCGUAUUGAUUUCGGAGCGCAGUACAUCUCGCGCUUUGCACUCAUAACGACGACGUCCAAAAGUACAUUUUUACACUCUUGACCUCGGAUCAGGUAGGGAUACCCGCUGAACUUAAGCAUAUCAAUAAGCGGAGGA